GAUGAACGCUGGCGGCGUGCCUAAUACAUGCAAGUCGAGCGAACAGACGAGGAGCUUGCUCCUCUGACGUUAGCGGCGGACGGGUGAGUAACACGUGGAUAACCUACCUAUAAGACUGGGAUAACUUCGGGAAACCGGAGCUAAUACCGGAUAAUAUAUUGCACCGCAUGGUUCAAUAGUGAAAGACGGUUUUGCUGUCACUUAUAGAUGGAUCCGCGCCGCAUUAGCUAGUUGGUAAGGUAACGGCUUAUCAAGGCAACGAUGCGUAGCCGACCUGAGAGGGUGAUCGGCCACACUGGAACUGAGACACGGUCCAGACUCCUACGGGAGGCAGCAGUAGGGAAUCGUCCGCAAUGGGCGAAAGCUUGACGGAGCAACGCCGCGUGAGUGAUGAAGGUCUUCGGAUCGUAAAACUCUGUUAUUAGGGAAGAACAAAUGUGUAAGUAACUAUGCACGUCUUGACGGUAACUAAUCAGAAAGCCACGGCUAACUACGUG
Molecule: ribosomal RNA, 497 nt
Filed under: uncultured bacterium
Lineage: Bacteria
Description: partial 16S ribosomal RNA
Rfam family: Bacterial small subunit ribosomal RNA
Source: RNAcentral